RNAcentral lists this transfer RNA (76 nucleotides) under bacterium ADurb.Bin236. RNAcentral's name for it is "tRNA-Arg". It matches the Rfam family "tRNA". From Rfam's summary of the family: Transfer RNA (tRNA) molecules are approximately 80 nucleotides in length. Their secondary structure includes four short double-helical elements and three loops (D, anti-codon, and T loops). The record is from RNAcentral.
UGCGCCCGUAGCUCAGAUGGAUAGAGCGUUAGGUUGCGGACCUAAAGGCCACAGGUUCGAGUCCUGUCGGGCGCAU